AAUCACACAAUAAAUACAAAGACAUCAUACCCAAAUAAACUUAGCUUCAAAGACCAACAAGACAUACAUCAACAAUCUCGAACCAUGAGCUUAGAAAACUCAAUAUAGAAGUAAUUAUUAUAAUUGAAAGAGAGAUAGCGACGAUAUCCAAAAUAUAGAAAUAAAAAAAUCUUCAAAUUAAAUGUGAGGAACCAUAAAUCCAACAGAUCUAAUAAGGUGGAAAGCGAGAGGAGAAGAAGGCAGAUGGCUAGCCGCGAGGAUGUGACCGCCACCAAUGACGACUACAUGUUUGUUAGAAGAUUGAUUAGAAGAGAUCAUGUUUAGAAGAUUUAUUAGGAGAUUAGAGAGAGAGGAGAGAAUAGAGAAGAUAUUAUGGUAGAAGAUUUGUUCGGAGAGAUCAUGUGUAGAAACGAUGAUUUUUAUGGAAUAAGAGAGAGUAUAGAGAGAAAAGAAUAGAACGACAAC
RNAcentral lists this long non-coding RNA (465 nucleotides) under Capsella grandiflora. Its description in RNAcentral is "long non-coding RNA (CGRA_LNC001697)". The record is from RNAcentral. Lineage: Eukaryota; Viridiplantae; Streptophyta; Magnoliopsida; Brassicales; Brassicaceae.